GAUCACUUUGCUCUUUCUGGUGGCAGCGUUGGCGUGUCAGAGAAUAAUUGGGGGUUCUCCGACGUAUAAGAGAUCUCUGGGUCGUCUGCAUCUGCAUUCUAUUCUCUAAAAGCUCUCUGCCGAUGUCCUCUUCUCUCUAUUUGAGGUUGCUGGUAAUAGUGAAGCAGUUUUGACAAUACUGGAGGUUGAAGGUAGUUUCCAUCAAGAGGACUAAAAGAAGAAGAUAUAGUAUUAAUGGUGUGCUGACAGUGAAACACAUCCUCCCAGAUCAAUAGACUUCAGGAUCAGCAACAGAACAAGAUCCAAUCAUAGAAAGAAAAAGAGGAAUGGAUGCAGUUGCAAAAGCACUAUACCAUCUGCCUCAGGAUCAAAUAAGAAUUUGGAAACGUAAAACUAUUUUUUUUACAUAUAUCCGCAGACUACUUAACUAAAAAUUUAACAUGUCAUCUUUUCAUAACUAAGAGUUGUAUUUCAUUUGAUUCAACAUGAUAGGGAACUGAGUGGAGCAACAUCAUCAACAACAUUUUGUAUGAUCAACUAGGAAUGGCUUCGUUUUAAAUGUAAUAUAUGUGUUUAAUGUAACUUAAUAUAAUUUAUUCCCUCCAUUGAUCUCCCAUACAUGUCUGAAUCUUACCCUUUAAUUACCAGCAUACACAAACCGCAUCUUACACUUUAAUUACCAGCAUACACAAACCGCAGCAACGCGGGGCGUCUAAUCUAGUCUUAUUAUAUAAGUAGAGAGUGACAUACUCGCAUUUUUCUUUCCUCCUCAUCUUCCUGUCCGAAAAGAGCAAGGGGAAGUUGAUAGAUAUCUCUGCAAGAUGAUUUCUUU
Long non-coding RNA from Argentina anserina (silverweed cinquefoil), 832 nucleotides. RefSeq lists it as uncharacterized. Lineage: Eukaryota; Viridiplantae; Streptophyta; Magnoliopsida; Rosales; Rosaceae. The transcript has 4 exons. The record is from RefSeq and is a predicted model, not a curated record.